GGAGCGCGCACGCUGCCUUUCCCUGCGGCGUGUGGGAGCGCGCGCGCUGGGCGGGAGAUUGUCCGCCAGUUGGGCGAUUCCUAACGUAUUUUUUAUUUUAAAAACCAAACCUGGUUCGGGGGCGAACCUCCCCCCACCGUCUUAGCGGAACUCUCCGGAGCGGCUUUUACCUCAGAAUUUCCAGCUUGGGAUCGCGCCGUGCUAAAUGAUACUUAAUGUGUUUAUAUUUUUAAUUUCAGCCUGCCCUCUGUCAACGAACAUUCUUGAUCAUCCAUGAAACGCACAAAGAAGUUUGGAAAGCCAAAGGUGGAGGAAUGUGACACUUGGUUGGACACAAGGGAGCUGAGGAGGAGGAAAGUGGAGAUUUUCGUAGGAUCCCCACCAAGCGAAAGAGGCUAUUCAGCCCGUCGAGUCUGCAUCAUCACUCAGAAGAGCAUCCCACCCAAACCCAGUCGCCCAUUGCAACCCUGCAUCCACCACGGUCAAUCCACCUAACCUGCACAUCUGGGAGGAAACCGGAUCAACUAGCAGAAACCCAAGCAGACACCGAGAGAAUAUGCAAACUCAAAAUCUUCUGCUCAUGAUUUUGAAUGUGUUUUAGUGUUAUUACCUCAGGGAAUUUUUUUUCUCUCUCUAUCAGAGCAUCUCAUCAUCAUCUCAUUUACAUCACCUCCCAACCUUUGCUCCAAGGAGAAUAGUUUAAACUUUUCCAACUAUUCCUCCUAACUGAAGUCCCUUUUCCCUGAUAAAAUAUUUUUUAAAGCCUUUACCUCUUUGCUGGUAAGCCAUUUAGCGGUUGGAGGGUGCCUAGAAUCUUUGGAAUUCUCUACCAGGGAGGGCUGUGGAAGCCUAGUCAUUGAGUGAAUUUGAGGCAGAAGUUAAUAGAUUAAGGAAUUUAGGGAUAAUGUGGAAAUAUGGCAUUGAGGUAGAAGAUAGCCAUGAUCUAGUUGAAUGGUGGACCUGGUUUGAGGGGCCAAAUGGCCUACUACUGCAGUUUCUUAUGAAAUCUGGUGACAUGAAUCAUCCACAAUACUCUACCUGAAGCCUAAGCAGUACAUAAAUGAUCUGUUAUUGUCUCUGAUCUUCUCAGUUCGUGCUGAUGACAAGUUAUUCCUAAUUUGUUUUAUUUUUAAAUUUCUUUUCAGUCCCAUUUCAUUUCAAAGCUGCUGUAUCCGCUGUCCAGAAGGAAUUACACUGUUGAAGUUCCUCUAAAUUUCACUCAGACGAGGGCUCCUCAGCAGUGCGUCAAACAGACAACAGUCUCUUCCUUUUUCUUACCAAAGGCUAAAGGUAAACUAGCACACACCUCACAAACAUCAGUCCUGAGUGCUGUGGGUGCUGCCUCCCCAAAUUCUGUCAUUGAAAAGGGAACAUACACAGAUCAGCCUGAGCUGAUCACUGGCAAUUGCAGAGACAACUUUGGCAGCUCCACUCCUGUGGACCACCAGGAGAGGUUGCCAUCAAUCUUAAGCACUGUCCACUACAGCUUUGAGAGACUGCCUCUUUGUGGAACUACACAUGGCAACAGUACCCUCAUUCUAAAUGAGCAAAGCCACCAGAUAUUGGAGGAAAGACAGCAUUCCUGUCUUAAAGAUGGUGCCAACAUAAAUAUUGUUAAGUCUGAGCUCCCAUCUGCACAUGAUGCAGGAGUAACAUAUGCAUCUGUUGACACUUCGAGUGAGCCUCCUGAUGAUUUUACUCAGCUGGAUUUCACUCAAGACUUGCAAGGAAAUCGAGUUAUCUCGCACACGAAGGCGAUCAGAUCACCAGGUGUGAAUUACGUAUCAUGCAAGGGAAUGCCUGUUGCUGAUGGGAAAUCCACUGACUUACCUCCUGCUGAGUCAGAAAUCCUGUGCACGCAGAGUUUUGAAGCAGGGUUACUUGGCAUGCUUACUUCCACACAACAAACUGUGGACAGACAAAAGAAGUUAUCGAAAAGGAAAGCGGUGGCACAUUUGCCCAAGAAAUUAAACUCUGAUUGUUACAAAGAUAUAUUUCCAGAGAACAAGGAAAAUGUCUUUGGGUCCAUGUUGAACUUGAAUCCAAAAUCUUUAAAAAGACCACCGCUGUCACCAGGAACCACCUCACUUCUACGCUGUCAGAAUGUACCCCAAGGUACUGAGGCUUUCCAACAGCCUAAAACUGCAUGCAGAGAUGAGAAUGUGCUGUCAUUCCUGUUCAGCCAAGACUCUCAGGGAAACAGAGUCAUCUCCCACCGGUGCACAGACAGCAGGUGUGGAGCAGUCUUUUCCGACAACCAGAACUCUCCAUUGGGCCCUUGCAGCAUUGACAUCAGCGGGAACACAAGCUGUAAUGUUCCUCUGAAAAGGAAGCUGCAUCAUUCAGGCCUCUGUUGUGAAUCACCCUGCAUGGCACAGUCAAAAUACGAUGACAUGUUCUGUCCACAAGCAGAUUUGCUGUUUACACAAGAUUCUGAAGGCAAUGCAGUGAUCAAACAUUGAUAAGGGUGGAUGUAUUGACUGUUAUUUUGUUUCUUUGGUUGCCUCCUUUCUCCCUCAUGUCCUGUAGGCAAACUGAAGACAUUAUAAACAAAUAAAGAUUUUUCUAGUGAAA
Rhincodon typus (whale shark) is the source of this 2574-nucleotide RNA transcript. RefSeq lists it as uncharacterized. NCBI's taxonomy places the organism in Eukaryota, Metazoa, Chordata, Chondrichthyes, Orectolobiformes, Rhincodontidae. The transcript has 4 exons. The record is from RefSeq and is a predicted model, not a curated record.